AUUGAACGCUGGCGGCAGGCCUAACACAUGCAAGUCGAGCGGAUGAAGGGAGCUUGCUCCUGGAUUCAGCGGCGGACGGGUGAGUAAUGCCUAGGAAUCUGCCUGGUAGUGGGGGAUAACGUCCGGAAACGGGCGCUAAUACCGCAUACGUCCUGAGGGAGAAAGUGGGGGAUCUUCGGACCUCACGCUAUCAGAUGAGCCUAGGUGGGAUUAGCUAGUUGGUGGGGUAAAGGCCUACCAAGGCGACGAUCCGUAACUGGUCUGAGAGGAUGAUCAGUCACACUGGACCUGAGACACGGUCCAGACUCCUACGGGAGGCAGCAGUGGGGAAUAUUGGACAAUGGGCGAAAGCCUGAUCCAGCCAUGCCGCGUGUGUGAAGAAGGUCUUCGGAUUGUAAAGCACUUUAAGUUGGGAGGAAGGGCAGUAAGUUAAUACCUGGCUGUUUUGACGUUACCAACAGAAUAAGCACCGGCUAACUUCGU
This 483-nucleotide ribosomal RNA is filed under the name uncultured bacterium. RNAcentral's name for it is "partial 16S ribosomal RNA". It matches the Rfam family "Bacterial small subunit ribosomal RNA", at positions 30 to 506 of the family's 1533-position model. The record is from RNAcentral.